AGAGUUUGAUCCUGGCUCAGAACGAACGCUGGCGGCAGGCUUAACACAUGCAAGUCGAGCGCCCCGCAAGGGGAGCGGCAGACGGGUGAGUAACGCGUGGGAACGUACCAUUUGCUACGGAAUAACUCAGGGAAACUUGUGCUAAUACCGUAUGAGCCCGAAAGGGGAAAGAUUUAUCGGCAAAUGAUCGGCCCGCGUUGGAUUAGCUAGUUGGUGGGGUAAAGGCCUACCAAGGCGACGAUCCAUAGCUGGUCUGAGAGGAUGAUCAGCCACACUGGGACUGAGACACGGCCCAGACUCCUACGGGAGGCAGCAGUGGGGAAUAUUGGACAAUGGGCGCAAGCCUGAUCCAGCCAUGCCGCGUGAGUGAUGAAGGCCCUAGGGAGUAAAGCUCUUUCACCUUUUUGAUAA
This 411-nucleotide ribosomal RNA is filed under the name Brucella anthropi. RNAcentral describes it as "bacterial SSU rRNA". It matches the Rfam family "Bacterial small subunit ribosomal RNA", at positions 8 to 450 of the family's 1533-position model. The record is from RNAcentral. Lineage: Bacteria; Pseudomonadati; Pseudomonadota; Alphaproteobacteria; Hyphomicrobiales; Brucellaceae.